Molecule: unclassified non-coding RNA, 332 nt
Filed under: soil metagenome
Description: partial contains 5.8S ribosomal RNA, internal transcribed spacer 2, and large subunit ribosomal RNA
Rfam family: 5.8S ribosomal RNA (bases 1-120)
Source: RNAcentral
GAUGAAGAACGCAGCGAAAUGCGAUACGUAGUGUGAAUUGCAGAAUUCAGUGAAUCAUCGAAUCUUUGAACGCACAUUGCGCCCGCCAGUAUUCUGGCGGGCAUGCCUGUUCGAGCGUCAUUUCAACCCUCAAGCACAGCUUGGUGUUGGGACUCGCGUUAAUUCGCGUUCCCCAAAUUGAUUGGCGGUCACGUCGAGCUUCCAUAGCGUAGUAGUAAAACCCUCGUUACUGGUAAUCGUCGCGGCCACGCCGUUAAACCCCAACUUCUGAAUGUUGACCUCGGAUCAGGUAGGAAUACCCGCUGAACUUAAGCAUAUCAAUAAGCGGAGGA